AGGCAGCAGUUGGGAAUCUUCCGCAAUGGGCGAAAGCCUGACGGAGCGACGCCGCGUGAGCGAAGAAGGCCUUCGGGUCGUAAAGCUCUGUUAUAAGAGAAGAACAAAUUGUAGAGUAACUGCUACAGUCUUGACGGUAUCUUAUCAGAAAGCCACGGCUAACUACGUGCCAGCAGCCGCGGUAAUACGUAGGUGGCAAGCGUUGUCCGGAUUUAUUGGGCGUAAAGGGAGCGCAGGUGGUUUCUUAAGUCUGAUGUGAAAGCCCACGGCUUAACCGUGGAGGGUCAUUGGAAACUGGGAAGCUUGAGUACAGAAGAGGAAUGUGGAACUCCAUGUGUAGCGGUGGAAUGCGUAGAUAUAUGGAAGAACACCAGUGGCGAAGGCGACAUUCUGGUCUGUUACUGACACUGAGGCUCGAAAGCGUGGGGAGCAAACAGGAUUAGAUACCCUAGUAGUCC
RNAcentral lists this ribosomal RNA (458 nucleotides) under uncultured bacterium. RNAcentral's name for it is "bacterial SSU rRNA". It matches the Rfam family "Bacterial small subunit ribosomal RNA", at positions 346 to 796 of the family's 1533-position model. The record is from RNAcentral.